RNAcentral lists this ribosomal RNA (497 nucleotides) under uncultured bacterium. RNAcentral's name for it is "partial 16S ribosomal RNA". It matches the Rfam family "Bacterial small subunit ribosomal RNA", at positions 28 to 507 of the family's 1533-position model. The record is from RNAcentral.
GAUGAACGCUGGCGGCGUGCCUAAUACAUGCAAGUCGAGCGAACGGACGAGAAGCUUGCUUUUCUGAUGUUAGCGGCGGACGGGUGAGUAACACGUGGAUAACCUACCUAUAAGACUGGGAUAACUUCGGGAAACCGGAGCUAAUACCGGAUAAUAUUUUGAACCGCAUGGUUCAAAAGUGAAAGACGGUCUUGCUGUCACUUAUAGAUGGAUCCGCGCUGCAUUAGCUAGUUGGUAAGGUAACGGCUUACCAAGGCAACGAUGCAUAGCCGACCUGAGAGGGUGAUCGGCCACACUGGAACUGAGACACGGUCCAGACUCCUACGGGAGGCAGCAGUAGGGAAUCUUCCGCAAUGGGCGGAAGCCUGACGGAGCAACGCCGCGUGAGUGAUGAAGGUCUUCGGAUCGUAAAACUCUGUUAUUAGGGAAGAACAUAUGUGUAAGUAACUGUGCACAUCUUGACGGUACCUACUCAGAAAGCCACGGCUAACUACGUG